RNAcentral lists this non-coding RNA (30 nucleotides) under Mus musculus (house mouse). Lineage: Eukaryota; Metazoa; Chordata; Mammalia; Rodentia; Muridae. The record is from RNAcentral.
UGGCUUCAGUGUCCUGAUCGCCUCCAGCGU